UUGUGAUUUGAGCUUCUAUUAUUUAGAGCUUACUGGAUGAUAGAUAUCAUGAAAUAUCUUAUUGUAGGAAUUGUAUUUAAAGAGAUUAAUCUGCUUAAUUUAUCUGAGCAACACGUGUGCAGUUUGCACGCAAGCAAAAGCUCGAAUUUGAGGAGCUGUUAGCGGCUAUUUUGGUCAUUUUUUACAGUGUGAAUGACCGGAAUUCUAAUUUAAUUGCCAAAAUAACAGCUAAUCCAUCGUGUUACUGGUCUGAGGCAGCAUGCAGAUAACAGACGCUUACCUGUGACCAGCAGCUGUGUCCAUAUCAGACACAAGACGAGGAACAUGCUUGCAGCGUGAGGGAGGAGACGCUGCCAGAGCUCCGGAGAUCCGCUCCAACACACCGGCCCCCUGCGACGAUCCUUCGCCGCCCCUUCGGUGUCCUACAGCGGCCUGGCUAGAAGAGGAAAUGCCACAAUGCUGCAGCAGCUCCGAGGGAAGGAGGUUUUUUCCAUGUGCUUCAGAGAGGACAGAGAGGUGUGUGUGGCGCGAUGAGGGGCAGGUGGAGGCUGGUGAUGAUGAAGAGCCAGAGAGGAAGUGGGGAGAAGAGGCGUGGUGGAGUAGAGAGGAAGAGGAGGAUUAAUCCUUUACAUCUUCACUACUGACAUUCCACAUUCAUGUUUUCUACUGAAGUGUCAAUAUGAAUAAAUACAUUGUUUUUUCGCCA
Acanthopagrus latus (yellowfin seabream) is the source of this 706-nucleotide long non-coding RNA. RefSeq lists it as uncharacterized. The record is from RefSeq and is a predicted model, not a curated record. The transcript has 2 exons. Lineage: Eukaryota; Metazoa; Chordata; Actinopteri; Spariformes; Sparidae.